GCCCCGGUGGCUCAGCCUGGUAGAUGAAACACCAGCCUAUAGCAUUGCCUUGGUAGGAACAAACAGAGAGGCAAGGGUCACGAGUUCAAAUCUCGUCCGGGGCUCCA
Molecule: transfer RNA, 107 nt
Filed under: Acidobacteriota bacterium
Lineage: Bacteria; Pseudomonadati; Acidobacteriota
Description: Acidobacteria bacterium tRNA-OTHER
Rfam family: tRNA
About the family: Transfer RNA (tRNA) molecules are approximately 80 nucleotides in length.
Source: RNAcentral